This 497-nucleotide ribosomal RNA is filed under the name uncultured bacterium. Its description in RNAcentral is "partial 16S ribosomal RNA". It matches the Rfam family "Bacterial small subunit ribosomal RNA", at positions 28 to 507 of the family's 1533-position model. The record is from RNAcentral.
GAUGAACGCUGGCGGCGUGCCUAAUACAUGCAAGUCGAGCGAACGGACGAGAAGCUUGCUUCUCUGAUGUUAGCGGCGGACGGGGGAGUAACACGUGGAUAACCUACCUAUAAGACUGGGAUAACUUCGGAAAACCGGAGCUAAUACCGGAUAAUAUUUUGAACCGCAUGGUUCAAAAGUGAAAGACGGUCUUGCUGUCACUUAUAGAUGGAUCCGCGCUGCAUUAGCUAGUUGGUAAGGUAACGGCUUACCAAGGCAACGAUGCAUAGCCGACCUGAGAGGGUGAUCGGCCACACUGGAACUGAGACACGGUCCAGACUCCUACGGGAGGCAGCAGUAGGGAAUCUUCCGCAAUGGGCGAAAGCCUGACGGAGCAACGCCGCGUGAGUGAUGAAGGUCUUCGGAUCGUAAAACUCUGUUAUUAGGGAAGAACAUAUGUGUAAGUAACUGUGCACAUCUUGACGGUACCUAAUCAGAAAGCCACGGCUAACUACGUG